RNAcentral lists this ribosomal RNA (313 nucleotides) under uncultured Methylobacterium sp. RNAcentral describes it as "bacterial SSU rRNA". It matches the Rfam family "Bacterial small subunit ribosomal RNA", at positions 1 to 346 of the family's 1533-position model. The record is from RNAcentral. Lineage: Bacteria; Pseudomonadati; Pseudomonadota; Alphaproteobacteria; Hyphomicrobiales; Methylobacteriaceae.
CUUAGAGUUUGAUCCUGGCUCAGAGCGAACGCUGGCGGCAGGCUUAACACAUGCAAGUCGAGCGGGCCCUUCGGGGUCAGCGGCAGACGGGUGAGUAACGCGUGGGAACGUGCCCUUCGGUUCGGAAUAACCCUGGGAAACUAGGGCUAAUACCGGAUACGCCCCUUGGGGGAAAGGUUUACUGCCGAAGGAUCGGCCCGCGUCUGAUUAGCUAGUUGGUGAGGUAACGGCUCACAAAGGCGACGAUCAGUAGCUGGUCUGAGAGGAUGAUCAGCCACACUGGGACUGAGACACGGCCCAGACUCCUACGGGA